AGGGUGCUGCGGUGUGCGUGAGAUUCUAUAUCGCAGAGGCCGACAAACAUUCGCUCGGGAGCUGCCUCUGGCCGGAUCGAGGUCCGGUUAUUGCGGUGCCCACCUGGUAGACCAGGGCCACUUGCGGAUAAGACAGUCCACGGCAUAUGUGGCACCCUC
This 159-nucleotide non-coding RNA is filed under the name Pseudomonadota bacterium. Its description in RNAcentral is "Proteobacteria bacterium 6S RNA". It matches the Rfam family "6S / SsrS RNA". From Rfam's summary of the family: E. coli 6S RNA was the first non coding RNA to be sequenced, but its function was unknown until recently. It consists of 184 nucleotides that fold into an extended hairpin structure with a large single-stranded internal bulge. The record is from RNAcentral. Lineage: Bacteria; Pseudomonadati; Pseudomonadota.